This 513-nucleotide ribosomal RNA is filed under the name uncultured microorganism. Its description in RNAcentral is "bacterial SSU rRNA". It matches the Rfam family "Bacterial small subunit ribosomal RNA", at positions 9 to 519 of the family's 1533-position model. The record is from RNAcentral.
GAGUUUGAUCGUGGCUCAGAUUGAACGCUGGCGGCAGGCCUAACACAUGCAAGUCGAGCGGAUGAAGGGAGCUUGCUCCUGGAUUCAGCGGUGGACGGGUGAGUAAUGCCUAGGAAUCUGCCUGGUAGUGGGGGAUAACGUCCGGAAACGGGCGCUAAUACCGCAUACGUCCUGAGGGAGAAAGUGGGGGAUCUUCGGACCUCACGCUAUCAGAUGAGCCUAGGUCGGAUUAGCUAGUUGGUGGGUAAAGGCCUACCAAGGCGACGAUCCGUAACUGGUCUGAGAGGAUGAUCAGUCACACUGGAACUGAGACACGGUCCAGACUCCUACGGGAGGCAGCAGUGGGGAAUAUUGGACAAUGGGCGAAAGCCUGAUCCAGCCAUGCCGCGUGUGUGAAGAAGGUCUUCGGAUUGUAAAGCACUUUAAGUUGGGAGGAAGGGCAGUAAGUUAAUACCUUGCUGUUUGACGUUACCAACAGAAUAAGCACCGGCUAACUUCGUGCCAGCCGCCGCA